GUCAGCCAUGGGGGAGUCCAGUGCCCUUAACCACCAUGGCACCUGCCCAUCCCUAAAAUGUGUUUGUUCAGCACAGUUACAGUGUGAUUUUUCAGUAGGUGAAUACAAUGUGUAAUGAAGAAAUCCUGGUAGAGGACCCAUCAUCUCAAUCGCUUGGAACAUUAUAUCCACCACCAGGAGUCAUUUUCCUUCUCUACUUCAAUCAGGGCAUGUGUGUUCCUCAGAGAGAGAAGAAAAGUGAGGAAGCAACCCCCAGGGAAUGGACGUGUAGCAGUCCCUUGGGAUUUGGGGUACCCACACCCACACCAGGCCCAGGACUUGAACUAUGUAGUCAGCCA
Long non-coding RNA from Tupaia belangeri chinensis (Chinese tree shrew), 338 nucleotides. RefSeq lists it as uncharacterized. The transcript is spliced from 3 exons. NCBI's taxonomy places the organism in Eukaryota, Metazoa, Chordata, Mammalia, Scandentia, Tupaiidae. The record is from RefSeq and is a predicted model, not a curated record.